RNAcentral lists this ribosomal RNA (445 nucleotides) under uncultured bacterium. RNAcentral describes it as "partial 16S ribosomal RNA". It matches the Rfam family "Bacterial small subunit ribosomal RNA", at positions 354 to 796 of the family's 1533-position model. The record is from RNAcentral.
GUGAGGAAUAUUGGUCAAUGGGCGAGAGCCUGAACCAGCCAAGUCGCGUGAAGGAUGAAGGUUUUAUGAAUUGUAAACUUCUUUUGCAGGGGAAUAAAGUACGGUACGUGUACCGUUUUGUAUGUACUCUGCGAAUAAGGAUCGGCUAACUCCGUGCCAGCAGCCGCGGUAAUACGGAGGAUCCAAGCGUUAUCCGGAUUUAUUGGGUUUAAAGGGUGCGCAGGCGGGUUGAUAAGUCAGCGGUGAAAGUUUGCAGCUUAACUGUAAAAUUGCCGUUGAAACUGUCGGACUUGAGUGUAAAUGAGGUAGGCGGAAUGCGUGGUGUAGCGGUGAAAUGCAUAGAUAUCACGCAGAACUCCGAUUGCGAAGGCAGCUUACUAAGCUACAACUGACACUGAAGCACGAAAGCGUGGGGAUCAAACAGGAUUAGAUACCCGGGUAGUCC